RNAcentral lists this small nuclear RNA (163 nucleotides) under Penaeus chinensis. RNAcentral describes it as "U1 spliceosomal RNA". It matches the Rfam family "U1 spliceosomal RNA". From Rfam's summary of the family: U1 is a small nuclear RNA (snRNA) component of the spliceosome (involved in pre-mRNA splicing). Its 5' end forms complementary base pairs with the 5' splice junction, thus defining the 5' donor site of an intron. The record is from RNAcentral. Lineage: Eukaryota; Metazoa; Arthropoda; Malacostraca; Decapoda; Penaeidae.
AUACUUACCUGGCACAGGAGAUACCGUGAUCACGAAGGCGGUUCUCCCAGGGCGAGGCUCACCAUUGCACUCCGGUGGCGCUGACCCCUGCGAUUAACCCAAAUGUGGUUAACUCGAGUGCGCAAUUUUUGGUAGCGGGGGACUGCGUUCGCGCUAACCCCCU